This 460-nucleotide ribosomal RNA is filed under the name uncultured bacterium. RNAcentral's name for it is "partial 16S ribosomal RNA". It matches the Rfam family "Bacterial small subunit ribosomal RNA", at positions 338 to 795 of the family's 1533-position model. The record is from RNAcentral.
CCUACGGGUGGCAGCAGUGAGGAAUAUUGGUCAAUGGACGAGAGUCUGAACCAGCCAAGUAGCGUGAAGGAUGACUGCCCUAUGGGUUGUGAACUUCUUUUAUAUGGGAGUAAAAUGUUCCACGUGUGGGAUUUUGUAUGUACCAUAUGAAUAAGGAUGGGCUAACUCCGUGCCAGCAGCCGCGGUAAUACGGAGGAUCCGAGCGUUAUCCGGAGUUAGUGGGUUGAAAGGGAGCGGAGGUGGAUUGUUAAGUCAGUUGUGAAAGUUUGCGGCUCAACCGUAAAAUUGCAGUUGAAACUGGCAGGCUUGAGUACAGUAGAGGUGGGCGGAAUUCGUGGUGUAGCGGUGAAAUGCGUAGAUAUCACGAAGAACUCCGAUGGCGAAGGCAGUUCACUGGACUGCAACUGACACUGAGGCUCGAAAGUGUGGGUAUCAAACAGGAUUAGAUACCCCUGUAGUC